RNAcentral lists this ribosomal RNA (1376 nucleotides) under uncultured bacterium. RNAcentral describes it as "bacterial SSU rRNA". It matches the Rfam family "Bacterial small subunit ribosomal RNA". The record is from RNAcentral.
CCUUAGAGUUUGAUCCUGGCUCAGGACGAACGCUGGCGGCGCGCCUAACACAUGCAAGUCGAACGAGCGAGAGAGAGCUUGCUUUCUCGAGCGAGUGGCGAACGGGUGAGUAACGCGUGAGGAACCUGCCUCAAAGAGGGGGACAACAGUUGGAAACGACUGCUAAUACCGCAUAAGCCCACGGGUCGGCAUCGACCAGAGGGAAAAGGAGCAAUCCGCUUUGAGAUGGCCUCGCGUCCGAUUAGCUAGUUGGUGAGGUAACGGCCCACCAAGGCAACGAUCGGUAGCCGGACUGAGAGGUUGAACGGCCACAUUGGGACUGAGACACGGCCCAGACUCCUACGGGAGGCAGCAGUGGGGAAUAUUGCACAAUGGGGGAAACCCUGAUGCAGCGACGCCGCGUGGAGGAAGAAGGUCUUCGGAUUGUAAACUCCUGUUGUUGAGGAAGAUAAUGACGGUACUCAACAAGGAAGUGACGGCUAACUACGUGCCAGCAGCCGCGGUAAAACGUAGGUCACAAGCGUUGUCCGGAAUUACUGGGUGUAAAGGGAGCGCAGGCGGGAAGACAAGUUGGAAGUGAAAUCCAUGGGCUCAACCCAUGAACUGCUUUCAAAACUGUUUUUCUUGAGUAGUGCAGAGGUAGGCGGAAUUCCCGGUGUAGCGGUGGAAUGCGUAGAUAUCGGGAGGAACACCAGUGGCGAAGGCGGCCUACUGGGCACCAACUGACGCUGAGGCUCGAAAGUGUGGGUAGCAAACAGGAUUAGAUACCCUGGUAGUCCACACCGUAAACGAUGAUUACUAGGUGUUGGAGGAUUGACCCCUUCAGUGCCGCAGUUAACACAAUAAGUAAACCCACCUGGGGAGUACGACCGCAAGGUUGAAACUCAAAGGAAUUGACGGGGGCCCGCACAAGCAGUGGAGUAUGUGGUUUAAUUUGACGCAAACGCGAAGAACCUUACCAAGUCUUGACAUCCCUUGACGAUGCUGGAAACAGUAUUUCUCUUCGGAGCAAGGAGACAGGUGGUGCAUGGUUGUCGUCAGCUCGUGUCGUGAGAUGUUGGGUUAAGUCCCGCAACGAGCGCAACCCUUAUGGUCAGUUACUACGCAAGAGGACUCUGGCCAGACUGCCGUUGACAAAACGGAGGAAGGUGGGGAUGACGUCAAAUCAUCAUGCCCUUUAUGACUUGGGCUACACACGUACUACAAUGGCGUUAAACAAAGAGAAGCAAGACCGCGAGGUGGAGCAAAACUCAGAAACAACGUCCCAGUUCGGACUGCAGGCUGCAACUCGCCUGCACGAAGUCGGAAUUGCUAGUAAUCGUGGGUCAGCAUGCCACGGUGAAUACGUUCCCGGGCCUUGCACACACCGCCCGUCA